GGUCAAGUGAUUAAGGGCUGACGGUGGAUACCU
This 33-nucleotide ribosomal RNA is filed under the name Oscillatoria sancta PCC 7515. RNAcentral describes it as "partial 23S ribosomal RNA". Lineage: Bacteria; Bacillati; Cyanobacteriota; Cyanophyceae; Oscillatoriales; Oscillatoriaceae. The record is from RNAcentral.